Molecule: long non-coding RNA, 256 nt
Filed under: Elaeis guineensis (African oil palm)
Lineage: Eukaryota; Viridiplantae; Streptophyta; Magnoliopsida; Arecales; Arecaceae
Description: long non-coding RNA (EGUI_LNC055658)
Source: RNAcentral
CUGUAUGAGUUCGGACGAAGUCUUCCUGCGGCCGGAGUCGGGGACGAGAUCUGGCUCCCGUAGGAGUCCGGGCGAAGUCUACCUGCAAUUAAAGUCAGGGGCGAAGUCUGGCUCCCUUAGGGGUCCGGACGAAGUUUACCAGUAGUUGAGGUCGGGGACGGAGCCCGGCUCUCGUAGGAGUCCGGGCGAAGCCUUCCAGCAGUUGAAGUCGAGGAUGAAGUCCGGCUCCCGUAGGAGUCCGGACGAAGUCUUCCAG